Molecule: small nucleolar RNA, 134 nt
Filed under: Leptobrachium leishanense (Leishan spiny toad)
Lineage: Eukaryota; Metazoa; Chordata; Amphibia; Anura; Megophryidae
Source: RNAcentral
CUGCAAACAAGAUCACGCGCGCUGCACGCAGUUGCUGACGCGAGGGGAACAUGUUUGCUAAAGUAACGCUGAUCAUGGAAGCACGCGGCCACGACGCCGGCUGUUGUGAUUGCAGCUUCUAGAUCAGUACAGAG